AACGGUUAAAAUGAUACGCGGAAUAAGCGAACUUGCAGCCGAUCUAAUGUCAACACUGCACUGUCACUUUGUUCGAUCACUGAAAUCCAAUUGCAUCUUCCAAGACCGCCGCUCGAUGACUGGCGGGCCGGGCGCGCGCCGUUCGUUUGGUCGGAUAUUCAUGACGCGGGGCUGGCGGGGCGCGGUGCGGGACGCGCGGGGUAGCUAUGAACGCCUUCUUUGAAUGGUAGUGUAAUAUUGAAAUGUAUGAAUGAAAUAAAUAAACAUUGUGAUUUAUUUUAA
Molecule: long non-coding RNA, 282 nt
Organism: Helicoverpa zea (corn earworm)
Lineage: Eukaryota; Metazoa; Arthropoda; Insecta; Lepidoptera; Noctuidae
Exons: 2
Source: RefSeq, a predicted model, not a curated record